RNAcentral lists this ribosomal RNA (362 nucleotides) under Roquettea singularis. RNAcentral's name for it is "partial small subunit ribosomal RNA". The record is from RNAcentral. Lineage: Eukaryota; Metazoa; Arthropoda; Arachnida; Opiliones; Cosmetidae.
UUAGAUACCCUAGUAUAUUAAAUUAGUAUGAUUAGUAUGAUAAUAAAAUUAAAAUUUUUGGCGGUUGAUUACUGUUAGGGGAGUUUGUUUAUGUAAUUACUCGUUAUAUUUAAUUAAUGAUUUGUUUAUUUAUUUCCGUGGGAGGUAAUAACUUUAAUAGUUUUUGCUUUUAUAUCAGGUCAAGAUGUAGCAAUUGUUGAAUGAAGAAUUAACUACAAUAAUGGAAUUAUGAAACUAAGUUAGUGGAAAAAGUGGAGAAAUUGAACUUAAAUGUAAUUAGAACUAGAAAGUUUUAAUGGAAGAGUUUAAUUAAUGUACAUAUUGCCCGUCACUUCUUUUGUUAGGGGGAAUAAGUCGUAACA